UUUGGUUUCCUCUACACACUGAAUAACAUUGGGGAUAGGCUACAAUCUGUUCCACUCCCUUUUCAAUUACUGCUUUUCUUGCAUAUCCUUCAACUCUUACAACUGCAACCUGGAUACUGUACAAUAUGUGAAUAAUUUUAGCUCUCUGCAUUUCAUUCCUGCUUUCUUCAGAAUUUCAGAGAGUGUACUCUAGUCAAAACUGUCAAAACCUUUUUCUAAAUCUACAAAGAUUAUAAACAUAGGUUUGCUCUUAAGGUGUGUUUAAGAUACGCAGUAGGGUUAGUAUUACCUUGUGUAUUCCAACAAUUCUCCAGAGUGCAAACACAGAUCUUCUCCAAGGUCACUCAGUACCACUUUUUCCGUUCUUCCACAAACAGAGUCAAUAUUUUGCAACCAUGAAGGUAUUUUUGCUUGUCUCCUAUUUCUUGCAAACCAGGUGGCCUAGUUUUGUCAAAGCUGGCUCCACCGAGGCUCUCAAUAAUUCUGAAGGAAUGUAGUCCACUGUAGGGGACUCAUUUUAACUUUGAUCUCUCUGUGCUCUGUCAAAUUCAUCAGGUAGUGUAAAACAGUUAAAAAUCUGAAAGGAAUAACAAUAGUAUGAACUGGAUAUUAUUGUACUAUUAAAGUCCUUCAUGAGUCAUGAAGGAAAGUGAGUGAGGACAUGCGCGCGUGCCCAAACACACACACACACACACACACACACACACACACACACACACACACACACACAAAACUGUGAUGAGUAGCACUCACAUCUAUAGUGAGUAGUUGGGGGUACAGAAGGGCUGCCUAUGAUCUCUUAAUAACCUCUGGUUCUUUCAAAUGAUGUAGGUACCCUCUCCUUAAUUUCCCACCUUUCAGCAUUUUAUCCUUCAGUUUAAUCUGAAGUUUAUAACGAAUAAAUAAUGGUCAGAGACCACAUCAGCAACUGGGAAUUUCUUACAGUUUAAAUUCUGGUUUGUAAAUAUCUCUCUGAUUAUUUUAUAAGCAAUCUGGGACAUACCAGUGUCUCCUGGUGUCCACCACACACACAACUCUCUCUCAUGAAUCUUAAACCAAGUACCUGAAAUGAUGGAAUUACGCUGUAUGCAUAAUUCUGCCAGGUGGUUUCUCUUUCUUUCUUUUCGCCCAGUCCAUAUUCACCAUAUUCUCUUCCUUCUCCUACUAUUGAAAUGCAAUCCCUUGCCCUACACAAUCAGAUUUUCAUUUGGCUCAACUCUCUUAAGAAUUUCUUUUGUAUCAUUAUAGAUUGCUUCAACCUCUUCAUUGUAAUAAUGCAUUCACUAUCUUGUUCAUAAUAGCUUAUACACAUUCUAAUUUUGUUAUUUAUUAUUAGACCCCUCCUGCACUACCACUAUUUCAUUAUAUAUUUACAAUCAUAAACCUACCUGUCCAGAAGUCUUUUUUUCUGCCAUUGCACUUCACUAAUUCUCAAUAUGUAAUUUUAGUCCGUGUUUCCCUUUGCACAAUCCCUAACCUACCUAAGGGAUCUAACAUUUCACACUUGGAACCAUAGAACACCAGAUUUGCUUUUCCUGAUGAUGACCUCCUCCCGAGUUAACUCCCACCCAGGGAUCCGAAUGGGGGAUUCUCUUACCUCUGGAAUACUUUACCUGAAAGGAUGCCAUUAUCAUUAAGACAACAGUAGAGCUACAUGUGAUGUUUCCAGUACCAAGAUAGAAAGGCCACAUUGACUAAUGCAACAAAAUUACUGAUACUAAUAACCAUAGUAACUUAAUCUUCCUGGCCAGUGGCCUCCUGGCAUUUUCCUGUAGAAACCCAUCUAACUUGCUGAUUAUCCUCCAAUUCAGGCAAAGGUGAUGGUUAGUGUAUCCCCAUGUUGUCUUAUUACAUGUUUUGCAAUAAUAUGAGAGAAGAGUCAACUUUCUUUAUGUAGUUUAAAUUUAACUGACUUCCUAACAUAGCCAACUGCAAUUUUUAUUUAUGCUAGUACUUAGCAAAGAAAGGAAGGUUAAAGGUGGGAGGAACACAUGGAACAGUCGUAUAAAGGAAACAAACUUAAAAUAUUAUAAUGGAAAAGAAAGGGGUAGAUGAGAUGGAUAAAAUGAAACAAAGGAAGUAAUACUGCAUGAAAAACUUGAUGGAACACUCAAAGAUGUAAGCUGAAAUACGUUCUUUAGAAUUAUUAAGCUCUUUGCGAAAAACGGUCAGGACAAAAUUUUUCCAUCAGGUGCUCAAGAUAUGUGAUGCUGUUGAAAUACCACCAGCCUUCAAGAACAACAAAAUAAAAGUACCAAAGAAGGCAGUAGUGACACGAGAAUACAACACAAUCAUUAUUUUAACAAAUCAGGGUUGUAAAAUACUAAUCCAAAUUGUCUAGAAAGUGUCACUAACCCACUAAAAGCCAAUCUGGGAGAAGGCUACUUUGUGAUCUAGAUAACUACAGGGACCCAGCAAGCAAUACUGACUACAAUUUAGUUUAAAACAUAGUUUGAAGAAUGACAAAACCACAUGCAUAGCACUUUUAGAUUUAGAAAAAGCUUUUGACAAUGUUGACUAGAACACACUCUUAGAAAUUCUGAAGGUAGCAGAGAUAAAAGAAAGGGAGCAAAAGGCUAUUUACAACAGACUGUAGUUAUAAGAGUCAAAGGAAGUGAAGGGGAAGCAGUUGUUGAGAAGGGAUUGAGACAAGGCUGCAGACCAUCCCCCAUGUUGUUCAAUGUGGACAUUCAUCAAGCAGUGAAAGAGGCAAAGGAAAAUUUUGUACAGGACAUAUGAUACAAAAAUUCAAACUAAACACCAUCAAUACACCAGUCCCCAUUAGCAGAAGAAAUCAAACGUGUUUCUCACCUUUUCUCAGUAACAUAACGAUUCACAAAGUUGUAUGAACAAUACAAUAUCAAAAUAAGCUUUCAGUCAAACAUUAAAAUUCAAAAAACAAUAGAUUCACAACAACUUUUUGCUGCUCUGGAAUAUAUAAACUAACAUGUGACAACUUCUCCUGCUAGUACACAGAACAAAUAGCAUGAAAAUUUAAGAUUUGAUACAAAAGAGCACACUGACUCACUACAUUUAAAACAUGCAAAUAAAUUCAGUUUUGUCACCCAUAUAGUGUAAACUAGCUAUCCAACUGGACAUAUAAAAAAAAGCAACCUCCGUUACCUUACACAGUGUAGAGAAGGGGAUGAAGAUGGACCCUCUGCAACAGUUAGAGCCUUCUUAAAUAAAUUUAAUUUCAGAAUUUUAAAGAAUCUGUGACCUUGAAAAACUAAGCAGUUACUCUGAAACUAAAUACCUAGCUGCACUCUCUCUCUCUCUCUCUGAGUUAUUUGUGUGGGCACACAUGCCCCGUACACAUGCUUACAUGCGUGAAGGGGCAGGGGGCAAAAAACUGUGUAGGUAGACAGAGACGUAAGUUCAUGUGGAUGUCAGUUGCGGUAGUUACACAGAUUAAGAGGCUAUCACAGGAUAAACUAGUAUGAACUGCAUCAAAACAGUCUUAGGAUAGCAGCACUGAAACAAACAAACUGGAAUGAUGUACCAACAAAAACAUUAUCUUGCAUGAUUUAUCAUCAAUCUAAAUUUGCUCAAAAUUCAUGAACAGUUAUAGGUGUCCUUUCCUUUCAUUUUCUAUGGUUAUGAAAAGAUUGUCAGAAUUCAAAUAUGACUAUUCUUGAAGAUAAUCCAGAUGAAUAAUGUCAAGUAACAGCAACCACAAACAGUGUGCCAUGUGGUAUUGGAUGAUCUGCAAUUAAAUGCCUGAUGGGAUAGGAAUAUCAUAAUACAGAUGAGUAUGUUAUACAUCAAUAAUUAGUUUUUAGAAAGCAUUUUUCUAUCAGGUGUCACAGUUGGUCAAUGCUGAGCAAAACCAAGUGAUAAAAAAGUUAUCAAACAGUGUUUACCAAGAUGCAAAAUGGGUUACAUAAUAAUUUAUUACAUCAUGAUCACCUGAAACUACAGUGUUUACAUUAUUAGUUUUAGCACCUUAUUGCCAUAUUCACAUGUUAUCAAUACAUUAAUGGCUUCAUUAUGAUAAACAACAAUUCCAGUUAUGCACUUUGAACAUGAAGUUUUAUAAAAUUUCAGUAAAUGUAAUUAUGUUGGUGCUGUGUGACUUCCAUUUGGCAAUAUGUAAAUUCCUAGCUAACUGGAUUCUGGUUAUUAAUUACCUUACAUGGGAUAAAACAACAACAGGAAAACAUCACACAUGCUUUCUUCAUGAAUUCACUGAAACAAGUUUACUACACAGCAGAUGGAUUGUGAAAGAAAAUACUUUAUUUUCCAUGCAAGCAAUGCAUUUACCCAUUAAGCUGCUGUUGCAGUAGGAAAAGUGAAGGGUCUGAAUUAAAGACUAUACAAACAUCCAGCAAUUAACUUGAAUUGCAUCCCGUUAUUUUCGAUUUUUCCCACAUGAGAAGACAUUUGUUGCCAGAAAAUGUGUUCUGUACAUGGUAGCCAAAAAUUAGUAUUUUACAGACCUUCCUGAAUCUCACUUCAAGUGAAGGAUUAAUGUCACUGGAAGUAUGCUGAACAAAGUGCAAUCAUCUAAUACAAGACUAUAUCAAAUAUAACUGCCUUUAAAACAAAUAAUUCACCUUGAGGCAAAGACACUUACACCUUGCCAUCAAAUAUGUCAUACUACAUGUAUAAAAGAUGUCAGAAAGAAAACUGCCUAAUUAGGCAGAACAGCUGUCACAGACAUUUCACCACUCUAAAGCACACUUUCAAAAGAUGGUCAAAAGUCAUGUAUUAAAAUCAAAUGUGCUUUUGGCAGAAAUGCAGCAGAAUAUUGUCUAUGAUUAGAUGAAUUUUGUGCCAAGAAUGCAUUACCAUACAGGAUGGCUACACGAUGGGUAAAGGAAUUUCAUGUGGGUCAGAAUGAGACUGCAGAUUUUCACCUCACAGUCUGGCUUCUCAAGAUGAGACUGACAUCACAGACAGUCUUGUUUCCAUGCAGUUUUGAUGGAAUGUUAGAGAUUAUUUCCAAUAAGGUUGAUUUCAGUCACCAGUAAGUCUGGCACCUACUGAAGAAAUGUAUUAAAAUGAGGAAUAUUGCAUCCUGUUGAGUUCAACAUUGACUCACCAGCUUACAGAAGUUGCACCGAUAUGAACCGGCUGGCAACCAUCUGGACAGAUAUUACAUUUCUACAGUGUAUUUUCACCACUGAUGUGAUGUGAACAAGAGCCUACAAGCCUGAAUUAAAGCAUCAAUCGAGCAAAGGGAUCACCCUGAUUCACUAUGUCCACAGAAAUUUUGACAGGGACCAAGUUGGGAGAAGUUUAUGCAGAUUUUAGCAUACAACUACGAAGGUGUUAUUCUUAUGGGUGUUGUGACUAUUACUGCCAAUUACUAGAGCAUUUUCUGUAUCCAGCUAUGUGGUGCAAACAUCCACUUUUAUUAUCAGAUCAUUACACUGUUGUGUGCCAUGAUAACCAAUGUUUCCGCAUCGCAAACAAUAGCGAGGUCUUAUUGCAACAGUGGCAUUGGGAUGUCUUGGAGCACCUUUUGUACUCAUCAGAUAUGUGUCAUUGCUAUUUCAACCUGUUUCCAAAGUUGAAGGAACCCCUUCAAGACCACCAAUUUCCUGGUGUGGCACCUGUACUCUAGAGAGUAGAGUCCUCUGUUGCUAUCAUCCACAGAGAACUCGUUGCCAGUGGUCCCCAACAGCUUCCCGACAGUGGCAAAAGGUAAUAGACUUUGUGGGUGACUACACUGACGAAACGUAAUGCAAUUGUACAUGUUAGUUCAUUAAAUAUUGUAUUCUAUCAA
Schistocerca nitens (vagrant locust) is the source of this 5731-nucleotide long non-coding RNA. RefSeq lists it as uncharacterized. The record is from RefSeq and is a predicted model, not a curated record. NCBI's taxonomy places the organism in Eukaryota, Metazoa, Arthropoda, Insecta, Orthoptera, Acrididae. The transcript is spliced from 2 exons.